Molecule: ribosomal RNA, 1729 nt
Filed under: human metagenome
Description: bacterial LSU rRNA
Rfam family: Bacterial large subunit ribosomal RNA
Source: RNAcentral
GAAUCGGAAGGUUCGGUGGAGCGGUAGGAAGUGAGAAUGCUGGAAUGAGUAACCAUAAGAGAGGUGAGAAUCCUCUCGGCCGUAAGAGCAAGGUUUCCUGAGCCAUGGUAAUCAUCUCAGGGUUAGUCGGGCCUAAGCCGAGGCGCAGAGCGUAGGCGAUGGACAUCAGGUUAAUAUUCCUGAACCGGUUAAGUUUUGUACACUGUUCACGGGGAAGUAAUCGAAGCGGAUUCAUGGUUUAUCCGUCCAACCGAGCGGGAACGCAAAGGGAGUGAAAGUGAUUCUUCGGAGUCGCGAUUUUGGUGAAAGCCCUGGCUAGAAAAGCAGGUGUACGCGUGGACUUAGCCGCCCGUACCGCAAACCAACACAGGUGCUCGAGUCGAGUAGACUCAGGCUUACGAGCGAACCUUCGCUAAGGAACUCGGCAAUACAGCGACCGUAACUUCGGGAUAAGGUCUGCCCCCACUUCGGUGGAUAUCAGCCGCGUUCACUCAGUGAAUAUUAGGUUAAAGAGUACAUUUUUAAUCACAAAACGAAUUUUCUGAGAUAGAGCAAACGAAUUGUUCUUUUGAACGCGAACCUCUGGCAUCUAACGAUGUGGGGGCCGCAGCAAAAGAGCCCACGGAACUGUUUAUCAAAAACACAGGUCUCUGCUAACACGAAAGUGGAUGUAUAGGGGCUGACUCCUGCCCAAUGCUGGAAGGUUAAGGGGAGCGCUUCACGGUGCGAACUGAAGCCCUAGUCAAUGGCGGCGGUAACUAUAACCGUCCUAAGGUAGCGAAAUUCCUUGUCAGGUAAGUUCUGACCCGCACGAAUGGAGUAAUCAUGUGGGCACUGUCUCAGCGAAGGACUCGGUGAAAGUGCAUUGGCGGUAAAGAUGCCGUCUGUCCGUACCAGGACGAAAAGACCCCAUGGAGCUUUACUACAGCUUUACAUUGAAUAUGGUUUCAACAUGUGUAGCAUAGGUGGGAGACUUUGAAGCAGAUACGCCAGUAUUUGUGGAGUCACCAAGUGAAAUACCACCCUUGUUGUGAUUGUGUUCUCACGCUGACCGUUAUCCGGUUAGCGGACCGUGUAUGGUGGGUAGUUUAACUGGGGCGGUUGCCUCCUAAAGAGUAGCGGAGGCGUUCAAAGGUUGGCUAACUUCGGAUGGAAAUCGAAGUGAUAGUGUAUGCGCAUAAGCCAGCUUGACUGUGAGGAGUACAUUCCAAUCAGAGACGAAAGUCGGAGCAAGUGAUCCGCUGUACGUACAUUUGUACAUGAAUGUGGGAUCGACAGCGCAAACGGAUAAAAGUUACCCUGGGGAUAACAGGCUUAUAGCGCCCAAUAGUUCACAUAGACGGCGCUGUUUGGCACCUCGAUGUCGGCUCAUCACAUCCUGGAGGGGGAGCACCUCGCCGAUUAAAGUGGUACGCGAGCUGGGUUCAGAACGUCGUGAGACAGUUCGGUUUAUAUCCGGUAUGGACGAUAGGAAACUUGAGAGGAUCUACCCCUAGUACGAGAGGACCGGGGCGGACGCACCUCUGGUGUAUCGAUUGUGGCCACCUGCUGCAUUGUCGAGUAGCUAUGUGCGGACUAGAUAAGCGCUGAAAGCAUAUUAAGCGCGAAACUAACCUCAAGAUAAGGUUUCCCUAUGAGGACACAGAAAGACUAUCUGUUUGAUAGGCGCAAGGUGGAAGUACAGUAAUGUAUGGAGCUAAAGCGUACUAAUAGUCCCAUUGCCUUUUUA